Molecule: non-coding RNA, 71 nt
Organism: Myotis lucifugus (little brown bat)
Lineage: Eukaryota; Metazoa; Chordata; Mammalia; Chiroptera; Vespertilionidae
Source: Rfam
GCCCGUGUGGCUCAGUGGCUGAGCAUCAACCUGUGAACCGGGAGGUCAGGGUUCCAUUCCCUGUCAGGGCA